RNAcentral lists this long non-coding RNA (239 nucleotides) under Arabidopsis thaliana (thale cress). RNAcentral describes it as "long non-coding RNA (ATHA_LNC000553)". The record is from RNAcentral. Lineage: Eukaryota; Viridiplantae; Streptophyta; Magnoliopsida; Brassicales; Brassicaceae.
UCUCAGUCGAAAACAAUGGCGUCUUCUUCAGCGACGCUCUCUCUCUGCUCUACUUUCUCUGCUCAUUGCAAUGUCAAUUCUCGCCGUUCUAGCACUAUCCUCUGUUCUCUCUCUAAACCUUCGCUUAAUUUGGCUAAACCUCUGACUGGAUUUCUUUCUCCUUCCACUGCGUCGACGUCUCGAACCGCAUUCACCGUCGCUCCGAAAUUCGCGGAAUCAGUCGUCGAAGCUGAACCGGA